AGAGUUUGAUCAUGGCUCAGAUUGAACACUGGCGGCAUGCUUUACACAUGCAAGUCGAGCGGCAGCGCGGGGCAACCCUGGCGGCGAGCGGCGAACGGGUGAGGAAUACAUCGGAACGUGCCCGAGAGUGGGGAUAACGCCGCGAAAGCGGCGCUAAUACCGCAUAUUCUCUGAGGAGGAAAUGGGGACCGCAAGGCCUCACGCUCACGGAGCGGCCGAUGUCGGAUUAGCUAGUUGGUGGGGUAAAGGCUUACCAAGGCGACGAUCCGUAGCUGGUCUGAGAGGAUGAUCAGCCACACUGGGACUGAGACACGGCCCAGACUCCUACGGGAGGCAGCAGUGGGGAAUUUUGGACAAUGGGGCAACCCUGAUCCAGCCAUGCCGCGUGCGGGAAGAAGGCCUUCGGGUUGUAAACCGCUUUUAACCGGGAAGAAAAGGCAUCUCUUAAUACGGGGUGUUCUUGACGGUACCGGUGGAACAAGCACCGGCUAACUACGUG
This 499-nucleotide ribosomal RNA is filed under the name uncultured bacterium. RNAcentral describes it as "bacterial SSU rRNA". It matches the Rfam family "Bacterial small subunit ribosomal RNA", at positions 8 to 507 of the family's 1533-position model. The record is from RNAcentral.